CCUACGGGCUGCAGUGGGGAAUAUUGGACAAUGGGCGAAAGCCUGAUCCAGCCAUGCCGCGUGUGUGAAGAAGGCCUUCGGGUUGUAAAGCACUUUCAGUGGGGAAGAAAGCCUUGGGGCUAAUACCCUCGAGGAAGGACAUCACCCACAGAAGAAGCACCGGCUAACUCCGUGCCAGCAGCCGCGGUAAUACGGAGGGUGCGAGCGUUAAUCGGAAUUACUGGGCGUAAAGCGCGCGUAGGCGGUCUGAUAAGCCGGUUGUGAAAGCCCCGGGCUCAACCUGGGAACGGCAUCCGGAACUGUCAGGCUAGAGUGCAGGAGAGGAAGGUAGAAUUCCCGGUGUAGCGGUGAAAUGCGUAGAGAUCGGGAGGAAUACCAGUGGCGAAGGCGGCCUUCUGGACUGACACUGACGCUGAGGUGCGAAAGCGUGGGUAGCAAACAGGAUUAGAUACCCUAGUAGUC
RNAcentral lists this ribosomal RNA (462 nucleotides) under Vreelandella stevensii. Its description in RNAcentral is "partial 16S ribosomal RNA". It matches the Rfam family "Bacterial small subunit ribosomal RNA", at positions 338 to 795 of the family's 1533-position model. Lineage: Bacteria; Pseudomonadati; Pseudomonadota; Gammaproteobacteria; Oceanospirillales; Halomonadaceae. The record is from RNAcentral.